CUACGGGUUGCUGCAGUGAGGAAUAUUGCACAAUGGGGGAAACCCUGAUGCAGCAACGCCGCGUGGAGGAUGACGCAUUUCGGUGUGUAAACUCCUUUUAUAUGUCAAGAAAAUGACGGUAGCAUAUGAAUAAGCACCGGCUAACUCCGUGCCAGCAGCCGCGGUAAUACGGAGGGUGCAAGCGUUAUUCGGAAUCACUGGGCGUAAAGGACGCGUAGGCGGGUUAUCAAGUCAGGUGUGAAAUCCUACAGCUUAACUGUAGAACUGCACUUGAAACUUCUGAUCUAGAGUAUGGGAGGGGGAGAUGGAAUUAGUGGUGUAGGGGUAAAAUCCGUAGAUAUCACUAGGAAUACCUAAAGCGAAGGCGAUCUCCUGGAACAUUACUGACGCUAAGGCGUGAAAGCGUGGGGAGCAAACAGGAUUAGAUACCCCGGUAGUC
This 439-nucleotide ribosomal RNA is filed under the name uncultured bacterium. RNAcentral describes it as "partial 16S ribosomal RNA". It matches the Rfam family "Bacterial small subunit ribosomal RNA", at positions 339 to 795 of the family's 1533-position model. The record is from RNAcentral.